UACGUAGGGGGCUAGCGUUGUCCGGAAUCAUUGGGCGUAAAGCGCGUGUAGGCGGUCCGGUAAGUCUGCUGUGAAAGUCGGGGGCUCAACCCUCGAAUGCCGGUGGAUACUGUCGGGCUAGAGUGCGGAAGAGGCGAGUGGAAUUCCUGGUGUAGCGGUGAAAUGCGCAGAUAUCAGGAGGAACACCCGUAGCGAAGGCGGCACUCUGGGCCGAUACUGACACUGAGGAGCGAAAGCGUGGGGAGCGAACAGG
This 253-nucleotide ribosomal RNA is filed under the name uncultured bacterium. RNAcentral's name for it is "partial 16S ribosomal RNA". It matches the Rfam family "Bacterial small subunit ribosomal RNA", at positions 524 to 776 of the family's 1533-position model. The record is from RNAcentral.